CCUACUAGCCUACGACGGGUACGGGUUGUGAGAGCAAGAGCCCGGAGAUGGAUUCUGAGACACGAAUCCAGGCCCUACGGGGUGCAGCAGGCGCGAAAACUUUACAAUGCGGGAAACCGUGAUAAGGGAAUCUCGAGUGCCAGCAUAUAAUGUUGGCUGUCCAGAUGCCUAAAAAGCAUCUGUUAGCAAGGGCCGGGCAAGACCGGUGCCAGCCGCCGCGGUAACACCGGCGGCCCGAGUGGUAACCGCUUUUAUUGGGUCUAAAGGGUCUGUAGCCGGCCAAGUAAGUCCCUUGGGAAAUCUGGCAGCUUAACUGUCAGGCUGCUAGGGGAUACUGCUAGGCUUGGGACCGGGAGAGGUGAGAGGUACCUUGGGGGUAGGGGUGAAAUCUUGUGAUCCUCGGGGGACCACCAGUGGCGAAGGCGUCUCACCAGAACGGGUCCGACGGUAAGGGACGAAAGCUAGGGGCACGAACCGGAUUAGAUACCCGGGUAGUCCUAGCCGUAAACGAUGCUCGCUAGGUGUCAGUCACGGUGCGACCGUGAUUGGUGCCGUAGGGAAGCCGUGAAGCGAGCCACCUGGGAAGUAUGGCCGCAAGGCUGAAACUUAAAGGAAUUGGCGGGGGAGCACUACAACGGGUGGAGCCUGCGGUUUAAUUGGAUUCAACGCCGGAAAUCUCACCGGGGGCGACAGCGAUAUGAAGGUCAGGCUGAAGACCUUACCCGAUUAGCUGAGAGGUGGUGCAUGGCCGUCGUCAGUUCGUACUGUGAAGCAUCCUGUUAAGUCAGGCAACGAGCGAGACCCACGUCCACAGUUGCCAGCAUACCCUCCGGGGUGAUGGGUACACUGUGGAGACC
RNAcentral lists this ribosomal RNA (857 nucleotides) under uncultured archaeon. RNAcentral's name for it is "bacterial SSU rRNA". It matches the Rfam family "Archaeal small subunit ribosomal RNA", at positions 249 to 1106 of the family's 1478-position model. The record is from RNAcentral.